GCUUUUUAUAUAAUUGUUAAAACAUCGCAAUGUACUUUCUUUAUUUGUGUAUUAUAAUAUGCUAUGAAAAAGAUCCUAAAACUGGUCCUUGUGACAAAAAACAAAAACAUUACCAAGUCGUUCUCCAUAGUAUAAAAACAUUAUAGAAAUGGUCCAUAUUGUAGAAAAAAGUUUACGUAAUUUGUCCAUAUAUAGAAAAACAUUACAAAAUCAGAAUUGUAAGUUUACUUAUUUUACAAUUAAGGCAUUGUACCUCAAAAGGAACAUUAAAAUCGCCUCACUAAAAAAAAAAGCAUACCUCCACCUAAAUUCUGCUCCAACCUGAACACAAAAAUAAAUAAAUAAAAGUCAUUAGUUUCGUACCUAUCCACCAUCAACAUAACCUAGGGUAACUCCUAUUGGUAUGCACAUAUAAAAGAUUUCCAACGAAGUUGUUCUCCGUAAAAGAAAAAGUAAAUAUGUUAUUUGAAUAUAGGGGUAUUUUUGUCAUAUGUACAAAUAACGGGUGAUGAGCCUUGUCCAUAACCUCGAUUUUAAACUCUUGUAAUUCUUGUCCAUAAUGGCUUCACAACCUCUUCAGUACAGUUUUAGUAUUUAUCAUAGAUGAUACAUUACUUUUAUAAAAAAAAUCAAAAUCUACGAUGAAAAAUGUUUGAGCAUUGCUUUAUUAAACUAAUCCUACUAAAUCUCAAGCAAAAUUUUAGAACUUAAAGACGUAACUGUUGUUAUUAUUAAGCUGUAUGACAAUUAGUAUAAGUUCAACAAACUUACUUUUGAUAGCCAGAACCCCUGAAACAACAACCAAUCCAGUGGAAGCAAACGUAUGUGCAGCAGCAAAGUAAACACCCUCUGUUGACCAGAAUGUGGGCAUUGACAACAGUCAACAGUUGAUAACAAACCUUUGAUUUGAUUUCUUGAAACAAUCCAGGACACCCACAUCCAUUUUCUUUUUCCAAUAAAAAAUAUACCAAUAUCUAUUCUGUUCGGAAAUAUUCUAAAGGAUUCCGAAGACAACAUCCAAUGAAAAAUAAUACAGAAAACGGAACACAAGAACAUAAGUAUAUAUAUACCUGCAAUUGAUCCGAAAAAUCCUUGUUGUUAAAUACCGAUGUUACACCCCAAUGAACAACAACAUCAUCAGGAACAGGCAAAGGCAAAUAAAAAAAAUUGUACAUUAUGUCGGCAAUUGCAAGUCAAUUCUGGGAGCUCAAUUCUUGAGUUAAAAAUUUUAGGGAUUACCUAAAUAGAGGUUGAAUUCAUCAUCCUACCGAGUUUGAUAAAGAAAUAGGAUAUUCUGCUUUCAGGAAUCCUUAAAAAACAAAACCGCUGACAAUCGAUUCCUGCAAAAAAGAAAGUACAAAAAACCCAAAAAUGAAAAUUAGGUGAUACAUAAUUACUCCCAAAAUUGUCAAUUGUAAAACAAAUCAACAUCUCAAUAAUCCUGUAAACCUGAUCUAUGCACCUUUUUUUUUCUACGAAUCCUGGGAUGUGACCUACUGAGAAAAUGAUAAAGCUGGAAGGGGGCAAAAAUCGACGGUGUAAAACGGACCUGAAGUUGAUCAAUUGAGGGUUCCAUGAUCUCUAUCUCCAAGUAGAAAGUUUAUAGAUGUUUUCUUGAAGUAUUGAAGCCACCGAUAUCACUUCCUUAUCCAGCAGACACCACCGUUGUUGCAGGUGGCAACAGUCUCGCUGCCUUUCUUCUCUUCCAACUAACUAUGCCCCGGUUCUUAGAAAUCUUU
This 1739-nucleotide long non-coding RNA is filed under the name Lactuca sativa (garden lettuce). RNAcentral's name for it is "long non-coding RNA (LSAT_LNC000206)". Lineage: Eukaryota; Viridiplantae; Streptophyta; Magnoliopsida; Asterales; Asteraceae. The record is from RNAcentral.